CCUACGGGAGACUGCAGUGGGGAAUAUUGCACAAUGGGGGAAACCCUGAUGCAGCGACGCCGCGUGAGUGAAGAAGUAUUUCGGUACGUAAAGCUCUAUCAGCAGGGAAGAAAAACCGGCCUUAGGGCCGCCAGACGGUACCUGACUAAGAAGCCCCGGCUAACUACGUGCCAGCAGCAGCGGGAAUACGUAGGGGGCAAGCGUUAGCCGGAUUUACUGGGUGGAAAGGGAGCGUAGACGGCAGCGGAAUUCUGGAGUGAAAUGCCGGGGCCCAACCCCGGAACUGCUUGGGAAAGUGUGCAGCUGGAGUGCAGGAGAGGUAAGCGGAAUUCCUAGUGUAGCGGUGAAAUGCGUAGAUAUUAGGAGGAACACCAGUGGCGAAGGCGGCUUACUGGACUGUAACUGACGUUGAGGCUCGAAAGCGUGGGGAGCAAACAGGAUUAGAUACCCCAGUAGUC
RNAcentral lists this ribosomal RNA (458 nucleotides) under uncultured bacterium. RNAcentral's name for it is "partial 16S ribosomal RNA". It matches the Rfam family "Bacterial small subunit ribosomal RNA", at positions 338 to 795 of the family's 1533-position model. The record is from RNAcentral.